This 901-nucleotide small RNA is filed under the name Pongo abelii (Sumatran orangutan). RNAcentral's name for it is "retained intron". The record is from RNAcentral. Lineage: Eukaryota; Metazoa; Chordata; Mammalia; Primates; Hominidae.
AGCCUAGUGCUUCGUUUUGUGAAAGGCCAAUUUCAUGAAUUUCAAGAGAGUACCAUUGGGGCUGCUUUUCUAACCCAAACUGUAUGUCUUGAUGACACUACAGUAAAGUUUGAAAUAUGGGAUACAGCUGGUCAAGAACGAUACCAUAGCCUAGCACCAAUGUACUACAGAGGAGCACAAGCAGCCAUAGUUGUAUAUGAUAUCACAAAUGAGGAGUCCUUUGCAAGAGCAAAAAAUUGGGUUAAAGAACUUCAGAGGCAAGCAAGUCCUAACAUUGUAAUAGCUUUAUCAGGAAACAAGGCCGACCUAGCAAAUAAAAGAGCAGUAGAUUUCCAGGAAGCACAGUCCUAUGCAGAUGACAAUAGUUUAUUAUUCAUGGAGACAUCCGCUAAAACAUCAAUGAAUGUAAAUGAAAUAUUCAUGGCAAUAGGUAAGAUUAAUAUCUCUUUUAAAAUGAUCAAUAUAAGCAAAACAAGUGUGAAGCAUAUUUGGUUUGACUGUCUCUUUUUUAAAAAUUUUUGGGGAUGGGUUUGUGUGUGUGAGAGAGAAAAAGAUUAUAUCACUUUUCUAAGUCCCUUCCACAAAGCAAUAUUUUGUUGGUAAUAUUGUUAAAUUUGAAAGAUGAUUACCUAUUAGGUUGUAAUACUGUCAGUUUAGGCAGCUUCUUCCAGGUGAGUUAAGCCUUAACCUUAACCUGAUAGUUCAAACAGAUAGAUUUUGCAAAGGUUUCGCUGGGAAAUUUGGAUAAAUAUGUUUUUUUUUAAUUAGGUUAUACUUUUUAAAAAUCAAAUUAAUGGUAAAUAUAACUCAAAAGAACGUGACACAUAAGUAUACAGAUUGACAAAUUAUUUUAAUGUAAACAUUAUAAGGAAGAUGAUUUCAGAGCAUAGAGGCAUAAGGA